This 539-nucleotide ribosomal RNA is filed under the name Johora thoi. RNAcentral's name for it is "16S rRNA". It matches the Rfam family "Archaeal large subunit ribosomal RNA", at positions 1921 to 2694 of the family's 2987-position model. The record is from RNAcentral. Lineage: Eukaryota; Metazoa; Arthropoda; Malacostraca; Decapoda; Potamidae.
GUCUGUUUGAAGUUAUAAAGAGUUUAACCUGCCCCCUGAUAAGUAGUUAAAGGGCCGCGGUAUUAUGACCGUGCAAAGGUAGCAUAAUCAUUAGAUUUUUAAUUGGAAUCUUGUAUGAAUGGUUGGACAAAAGAAAUUCUGUCUUUAAAAUAAAUUUUGAAUUUAACUUUUAAGUGAAAAGGCUUAAAUAUUCUAGAGGGACGAUAAGACCCUAUAAAACUUUACAUUAUGAUUAUAUUUAAUUGAAUUUAGAUAUAAAAGUUUAAUUUAUUUAUUUGUUAUGUUGGGGAGACAUGAGUAAAAUUAAUUCUAUCUGCUUGAAUUUUUAAACAAAAAUUUAUGAGCUAAAGAUCCUUAAUAAAGAUUAAAAAAUUAAGUUACUUUAGGGAUAACAGCGUUAUUUCUUUAGAGAGUUCUUAUCGAGAAAGAAGAUUGCGACCUCGAUGUUGAAUUAAAAUACCUAUAUAGUGCAGUAGCUAUAUUAGGAGGUCUGUUCGACCUUUAAAAUUUUACAUGAUUUGAGUUCAAACCGGUGUGAG